GGGUGAGUGUGAGGAGUGAGAUGGCGGCUGCGGGCACCAUGGAAAUGUCAUCGCUGCCUGCGGCUCCAACGGGGACAUGACGUCCUCCUCUGAAAUGACCUUUACAGGCGUGAAACUGCCCGCGGGCGGGAGGUUGAUACCGAGCAAGCAGCGGAACGCAAGGCGGCCGCGGAGGCGGGGGAUGCCCCGGGGGUUUCGCUGUGUAACACCUCCCAGCGCUGGGAAAGGGGACGGAAGGCGGCGCACACCAUUUGCCGACUGCACUAAAAUAUUCCGCCAACAGUAAUGAAUAAGGCCUUGCAGGAAUCUAUAAAAGGUAAAUGGGAGGACAGAAAGUGGUGCGAAAACUUUGAAAGGCACUGAGAAGUCCAAGACCUUGUUGCUGGCUGAAGAAUGCAGACUAUAAAGUGCGUAGUUGUUGGAGACGGCGCUGUGGGAAAAACUUGUCUCCUUAUCAGCUAUACCACCAAUGCCUUCCCAGAAGAAUACAUCCCUACCGUGUUUGACAACUACAGUGCCCAAAUGACUGUUGAUGGGCGGACAGUUAGCCUGAAUCUCUGGGACACUGCAGGCCAGGAGGAGUACGACCGCCUGCGCACACUCUCGUAUCCUCAAACCAAUGUGUUCGUCAUCUGUUUCUCCAUUGGUUGCCCCUCUUCCUAUGCAAAUGUGAGGCACAAAUGGCAUCCCGAAGUUUCUCAUCACUGUCCAAAUGUUCCCAUUCUUUUAGUGGGCACGAAGAGAGACUUGAGAAAUGACCUGGAAACGGUUAAAAAGUUGAAAGAGCAAAGCUUGGCUCCCACUACCCCGCAGCAGGGGACUUCACUGGCUAAACAAAUUGGAGCAGUCAAAUAUUUGGAGUGCUCAGCAUUGAAUCAGGAGGGUGUUCGGGAGGUGUUUGCUGAAGCUGUGCGUGCAGUUCUGUAUCCUGUGACAAAGAAGAACACAAGAAAAUGUGUCUUAUUGUAGUUACCUCGGGGGAUGGAUGUUCGAAGUUGAAUGGAGGGUUCUUUAAUUAGUUAAAUUGAAGAUUUGCAUCUUGCACUAACAGCUCUAAGCAGAAAUGGUUUAUGCAAUGAAUAUUCUUGCAGUCUUAUUGCUUCAGGGAAACUGAAACAGAACACACCUUUUUAUUUUUCCGACUGAGAGGUCAAAUAUCUACUUUAUUUCUAAAGUUCCAGUCUCCAGCUUCUCCAGGGAUCACUUGGCUUCUGUCCUUAUUUAGUGGAGGAAAAUAAAAGGGACUUCUUUGAAGCCAGAUUUCUUUACUAGAUAGCCAUCAGUUACUAGAUUUGCUGAAAAGCACAAAUUCUGAUAACUUUGCUUUAUGUGUAACUGCUGCUUUUCCUAUCCCUUAUUUACUGAUUGAAUUUAUUUUAGAGACAGAAGUCUGGCUGUCCAGUUGCUUUGUCAAUUUAAAGCUUGAAAACUAUUUGUUUACAUGCAAAAAUGCCUGAAAUAUUCCUGAGAUUCACCUUAUAGUGAACUGUGAUCACUUAGAUGAAGAGUUAAUGUAAGGCAUGCUUAAUGAAAUAAGCAAGGCCCAGGGAACACGUUUGGUGAUUUCAUUAGUAGAAGCAGGAGCUGAUUUCUCCUAAUGUAAGGAACUUAGGAUAAUGGUGACUCACUCAAAUGAGUGAUUUUCAUGCUUUUUGGGAGGUGGAAGAGUAGUUUAGAUGCGAAUCUUCCAUAAUCUUCUAAAACGAGUUUUUAUUUCACUCUCUUAAGACACUUUGCACCCUGAGAAUAAAGUUAAGUUACCUUUUUGGACUGAGGUAGUUGGGAUGACAUUUCUCAAAAUGGGAUUUUCAGUGUGAUCCUUUUGAAUCCCAGAGACCUGAUAGCAGUCCAUUUGCUCUUGAGAAAUUAAGUGCUUCAUUUCUUAGUGUUCUUGGGGCCACCACCUGAGAUUUUUGUGGCAAAUUCCUUUGUUGUUUUUCUAGGAGAACACUGGCAGAAAAUUUGGAGCUCUAUUUACAGGAACCAGGAACCCACAUUUCUUCCUAGCAGCUCACUGAUGGUUUCAGUUAAAUUUGUAAUCGUUAGCCAGUCACUGGAUAGGUUUACCUGGACAGUUUUCUCCUCACUAGUAGGUGGUCAGUUAUUAUAAACUAGUUUAACUGAAGUUCUAUUUGUGUACUUUUUAGCUUUCUUUAGCAGCUCUAGUGAGUGGCAGCUGGUUUUUAUUUUCAGGAUGUGCACUGUUCUUUCUGUGUGAUUCUGGGACCAGCUGAGGAGUGAGCGCAUGAAACCUUCCUUAGACUUAACCUUCCAGCUUGGUGGUAUGAAAGCAGCUUGCUUCAAAGAUACUUUGUGUGAAACCAAUGGUGCUGGACUGCGCUUUGUUGUCUCGAGUUGACAGUGCUGUCUUUGUCCGGAUGCAGCCUCAAUUGGUAAUUCAGAACUUGCUCUCUUGUGAUUCCCACACAUGCAGAUCUGUACUGGUGUAUAUCCUGGGCAGAAAAAAGGCACCUCAUUUUAGCAAGAUAAGAGGAAAUGCAUCAACAAGGUUAUUAGGGAUCUUCUGUUAAUUUGACCUUGUUUUAUGUGAUACAGGCAAAAAUACCAGGUGGACAGAAACACUGGUAUUUGUGCCUUAAUUCCCCUCUUUGAAGAGGAUGUGCCUUUCUUUAGCUGGUGCUGACACUAACUGCAAUUUUUGUAUAUCUGAGGUAUGCUCGUACUGAUACUGCUUCAGCAAACUGCAGCCCAUAGAUUAUAGCAGUUAAUCCCAAUACUGGUAUAUGUGACUGGUGAACCCAACACCAAGUUCCAAGCGUUGCCUGACCACAGGCAACACCAAAACACCUGCUAUGCCUGACGUUUGCAGAAGCCUAGAGACUCGGCAUAUUUUUCUUCACCAAGUGCCAUUGCCUGGAGUGUCUUUGUGUCUCUUGCACUCACAGAAGUGCUGUUCCAGAUGUGGCUCCAGCCGCAGCUGUGAGGGUGCAGGAGUAACCUCUGCUAACCACAUUCUGCCUUUACUUCAGCAGUCGGCCUUCAGUGUGGGCUUGACUUGCCGGCGGCAAUUAACUCUGUGCCUUGUAAUUCAAGAUUAUUUUCUGUAGGUAAAUUUCAGUAACCAAGUCAAUAGAGUUUAAAAGGUUUAAAAUGUAUUUAUUUAAGCCAGAGCACAUGUCUGUUCUUUAAUGCUAGUCAGGCCUAAAUCAACUGUGUAGUUACCCUGGUGCAAGCCCGUAACCUUUGCUUCCUUCAGAGAUGUACUUUUAAAAGUUUAUGAUAUGUUUGAACUGCUCUUAAAUAGAUUUUUAAUUUCAACAACAGGCACCUCCUUUUUUUUUAUUUUUUUUUUUUUUUUGCUACAUACAUUUGCGAUUUUGUACUGAAGCUACUACUGUUUUAAGAAGUUUUUACUUUUUUUACGUGCUGAAAUCUUAAGUUCUGCAUCCUUUGUGGUUAUUCCUAACUGGAUUACAAUAAUUUUGUGGAGGAGAAAUCCUGUGAGUGUUAUUGCACACACCCACCCUGUAGGCUCGCACAGCAGCCAUCCUGAUGUUAACUGGAAGACAGUAUGGUGAGAUAAAAUUCAACUACUUAAUUGAUUUAUUUGAAUUGAUUACAUUGUGCUAGAACACUUUACCCCAUCUAGAUUACUUAAGAAAUGGAUUGCACAACAGUACUGAGGAGAGUAGCGUGAUGAUGAUGAAAAUGAGCAGAAAGUGAACUCUGAACACCAUCAAAAACUUUUCAGUGACUUUAGAGUACCUCCUUAGUAGUCGUUUAGUUGCCUCGUGUUUCUGUCCUUGCCGCUGGCAGCUGGUUUCCUCCGGCCGCGGCUUUUCAGGAGAACGAGAACUCGGCCGCGCACGGAGCCAACGAGAUUUUCUAUUCCGCGGGCGUUCCCAGUCCGCGAUCUUCCUGCCUUUUUAUUUUCCCCUGUAAUUCUUGGUGCAUUUUAUUGCGAGUAAUCCAAUGCUUCAGUCUACAAUCCAUUCUGUUCCUCCCACAUAUGUGGUGGUGUUUGUUUUUUUUACUGUGGGCAGGUAACAAAUACAGACUUCACACAACCCCUUGGCUGGAUUUUGUCUGUUUUUGGGAAAUCGGAAAACCAGGGUUAAGCUGCGUGGGUUUCCCGAACCGUUGGAGGUUUCUUGGUUCGUUACUGAAGAGAAACGCAGCGUGUAUGUCUUAAUUCACAGAUGAGACUCUCUAUGAAGAGAUGGAUUGUAAUCUUCCAGUUUAUGAAUGAUUUCUGAAAUACUUCAGUGUUUUUUUUAAAUACAGCUGAAGCCACCCACAGGGAGUGGAUCGGUUCAGGAAUUCCGUGUCCAAAGGAUGUUACAAGGCGUGCUUAGACGUAGAAGUGCUUUCUCCGGUUUACAGCUGUAGCUGUUUCUAUGGAAUUUAAACUGAAAAGCCUGGCCGUGCCUUGCCUGAGCGCUAAGCCCGGCUCUGUAGGACCUCGGUGCUUUUGGGCUGUCUCCGGGACACGGGUGGGUCUCACAGGGGUCCCGGUCCCAGCCCCGGGGGCUGUGGGGAGCCCAAGACUCUUAAGUGUGGUACUGAUACAUACACUGGCAACUUGAUUUUUAUACUAUAAUUUGUAUUACAGCUAACAGUUUUAAAGGAUUUUUUUUUUUUAAAUUAUGCGGGAUUAAGUUGUAAUAAACCUUUCCUCAUCUCUCUGGCUCUCAUAUUAACUCGCCAAGCUGUUUGUAACGCACCUGUUCUAAACGUAGUUCUUUCCUGUGGAAAGCCCGGACCCCGUUUCUCAAACGCAAUAAAACGAUUUUUCGGUGAA
This is an RNA transcript of Columba livia (rock pigeon), 4762 nucleotides long. It is a transcript of the gene named rho-related GTP-binding protein RhoG, with no coding region annotated. The record is from RefSeq and is a predicted model, not a curated record. The transcript is spliced from 4 exons. NCBI's taxonomy places the organism in Eukaryota, Metazoa, Chordata, Aves, Columbiformes, Columbidae.